CGGACGAGAUCUUCGGAUCUAGUGGCGGACGGGUUAGUAACGCGUGGGAACAUACCCUUCUCUAAGGAAUAGCCACUGGAAACGGUGAGUAAUACCUUAUACGCCCUUCGGGGGAAAGAUUUAUCGGUGAAGGAUUGGCCCGCGUUAGAUUAGAUAGUUGGUGGGGUAAUGGCCUACCAAGUCUACGAUCUAUAGCUGGUUUGAGAGGAUGAUCAGCAACACUGGGACUGAGACACGGCCCAG
This 243-nucleotide ribosomal RNA is filed under the name uncultured bacterium. RNAcentral's name for it is "partial 16S ribosomal RNA". It matches the Rfam family "Bacterial small subunit ribosomal RNA", at positions 63 to 334 of the family's 1533-position model. The record is from RNAcentral.